UGGCUCGAGGACGAACGCUGGCGGCGUGCCUAACACAUGCAAGUCGAACGGAAGUAAGGCUCCGGUUUACUUUAGUGGCGAACGGGUGAGUAACGCGUGAGGAACCUACCUUCAGUGGGGGACAACAGUUGGAAACGACUGCUAAUACCGCAUAAUGUAUUUGAGGGGCAUCCCUUGGAUACCAAAGCUUUAUGUGCUGAGAGAUGGCCUCGCGUCUGAUUAGCUAGUUGGCGGGGUAACGGCCCACCAAGGCGACGAUCAGUAGCCGGUCUGAGAGGAUGAACGGCCACAUUGGGACUGAGAUACGGCCCAGACUCCUACGGGAGGCAGCAGUGGGGAAUAUUGGGCAAUGGGGGAAACCCUGACCCAGCAACGCCGCGUGAAGGAAGAAGGCCUUCGGGUUGUAAACUUCUUUUACCAGGGACGAAGAACGUGACGGUACCUGGAGAAAAAGCCACGGCUAACUACGUG
This 471-nucleotide ribosomal RNA is filed under the name uncultured bacterium. Its description in RNAcentral is "bacterial SSU rRNA". It matches the Rfam family "Bacterial small subunit ribosomal RNA", at positions 26 to 507 of the family's 1533-position model. The record is from RNAcentral.